Molecule: long non-coding RNA, 1132 nt
Organism: Oncorhynchus tshawytscha (Chinook salmon)
Lineage: Eukaryota; Metazoa; Chordata; Actinopteri; Salmoniformes; Salmonidae
Source: Ensembl
UGGAGCUGUAACACUUUAAGUUGGCUCUCCCCUAGUUGAGGUCUAGACAAAACAAUCUUUUAUCUGAUCUACCCUGUUUUUGUUUUCCUACACUUUUUGUUUUGCUUCGUACCUUUUUUAAGUUUGGUGUGUUUAAAAAAUUAAAAAAUACAUAUUUUGUUUGCCUCUUCUUGGGCAAAUUUCCUGGGUGCUCAUGGUCGGGGUCUUUUAGGUGCCAGUUGUUGCUAGUCAUCUUUCAGUGGACACUCGAGUCAUUUAGAACCACCCAUAAAACCCACACAUUUAAUUUUGGUUCUUGUCAGUGACUCUUUGUUAGUUCCCCUUUCUGUUUGCGUGACUAUUAUUUUUUUCUUGCUGGGGAACGUACCAAAAUGGAGGCUCAUUCGGGAUCGUGUUUACCACAGACGGACGGAUGGAGGAGCAGAGAGUAGACCCAGCGCCAAGAGACAGGCAUGAGGCCUCUCCGUCUAUCUACAGGACAAAGACAGUAGACAUGAGGCCUCUCCAUCUAUCUACAGGACAAAGACAGUAGACAUGAGGCCUCUCCGUCUAUCUACAGGACAAAGACAGGAGACAUGAGGCCUCUCCGUCUAUCUACAGGACAAAGACAGUAGACAUGAGGCCUCUCCAUCUAUCUAGGGUGGUAUCAUUAUGACAGACAGGGCUCAUUGUACUCAUUCCCUAUGUAGUGGUCAACAGUCGUGCCAUGAUAGAGAAUAGGGUGUAAUGUUUGAUCAGUCAUUGUGUUUGGUGACUUCACUGCUGUCAGCGUAGGUACUAUAAGGAUGUAGAUUUAUUACUGUGCCAUCACAAAUGACAUUUGAUUUGAAACUGUCAGACUGGGUAGCUGUCUGUGUAAACUUUGGUGGAGUCGUUAACACCACAGGGCCGUUAGCUUUCUGGCUGCUCGUAGAUAUCUAUUAGCCCGAAUGUAUGUUUCUUACUUGUCAUUACUUAUUGAGAUCAGUUUAUUUUACUUUGAUGUGAGCAAAGCUGGUAAUUGCGUGUACCUCAGUCAUCAUGUUUCCUAGAUUAAAUUUUAAUACUUGGAUAAAUUAUGCAUUGCUCAUUUAUAAUGUAGGAACUGAAUACUAGUGUACAUAUAUUUAGUAUAUAUAUGUUUGUUCUGCAA